UACGGAGGAUGCGAGCGUUAUCCGGAUUUAUUGGGUUUAAAGGGUGCGUAGGCGGCUUUUUAAGUCAGCGGUGAAAUUUUGCAGCUUAACUGUAACAGUGCCGUUGAUACUGGGGAGCUAGGAUUUGGUUGCUGUGGGUGGAAUGUGUGGUGUAGCGGUGAAAUGCUUAGAGAUCACACAGAAUAUCGAUUGCGAAGGCAGCUCACAAAGCCAAGAUUGAUGCUGAGGCACGAAAGUGUGGGGAUCAAACAGGA
Molecule: ribosomal RNA, 254 nt
Filed under: uncultured prokaryote
Description: partial 16S ribosomal RNA
Rfam family: Bacterial small subunit ribosomal RNA
Source: RNAcentral